Potamilus streckersoni is the source of this 73-nucleotide non-coding RNA. Lineage: Eukaryota; Metazoa; Mollusca; Bivalvia; Unionida; Unionidae. The record is from the annotation of a GenBank genome assembly.
GCUCCGGUGGCCUAAUGGUCAGAGCGUAAACCUCAGAUGCGGAAGGUCGUGGGUUCGAGCCCCGUUUGAGUCA